CAGUGGGGAAUAUUGCGCAAUGGACGAAAGUCUGACGCAGCGACGCCUCGUGAGGGACGAAGGUCUUCGGAUUGUAAACCUCUUUCAGCAGGGACGAAGCGAAAGUGACGGUACCUGCAGAAGAAGCACCGGCUAACUAUGUGCCAGCAGCCGCGGUAAUACAUAGGGUGCAAGCGUUGUCCGGAUUUAUUGGGCGUAAAGAGUUCGUAGGCGGUUUUUCGCGUCGGAUGUGAAAACUCAGGGCUCAACCCUGAGCCUGCAUUCGAUACGGGAAGACUCGAGGACGGCAGGGGAGACUGGAACUUCUGGUGUAGCGGUGGAAUGCGCAGAUAUCAGAAAGAACACCAAUGGCGAAGGCAGGUCUCUGGGCCGAUCCUGACGCUGAGGAACGAAAGCGUGGGGAGCAAA
This 408-nucleotide ribosomal RNA is filed under the name actinobacterium SCGC AAA278-F23. Its description in RNAcentral is "bacterial SSU rRNA". It matches the Rfam family "Bacterial small subunit ribosomal RNA", at positions 352 to 772 of the family's 1533-position model. Lineage: Bacteria; Bacillati; Actinomycetota; Actinomycetes. The record is from RNAcentral.